This 75-nucleotide transfer RNA is filed under the name Gemmata sp. SH-PL17. RNAcentral's name for it is "tRNA-Asn". It matches the Rfam family "tRNA". From Rfam's summary of the family: Transfer RNA (tRNA) molecules are approximately 80 nucleotides in length. The record is from RNAcentral. Lineage: Bacteria; Pseudomonadati; Planctomycetota; Planctomycetia; Gemmatales; Gemmataceae.
AGCGGUGUGGAGCCGAAUGGUAAGGCGGCGCCCUGUUAAGGCGUAAUUUGUAGGUUCGAUUCCUACCACCGCUGC